RNAcentral lists this ribosomal RNA (504 nucleotides) under uncultured bacterium. Its description in RNAcentral is "partial 16S ribosomal RNA". It matches the Rfam family "Bacterial small subunit ribosomal RNA", at positions 28 to 507 of the family's 1533-position model. The record is from RNAcentral.
GACGAACGCUGGCGGCGUGCCUAAUACAUGCAAGUAGAACGCACAGUUUAUACCGUAGCUUGCUACACCAUAGACUGUGAGUUGCGAACGGGUGAGUAACGCGUAGGUAACCUGCCUGGUAGCGGGGAUAACUAUUGGAAACGAUAGCUAAUACCGCAUAAUAUUACUUAUUGCAUGAUAAUUAAUUGAAAGGUGCAAUUGCACCACUACCAGAUGGACCUGCGUUGUAUUAGCUAGUAGGUGAGGUAACGGCUCACCUAGGCGACGAUACAUAGCCGACCUGAGAGGGUGAUCGGCCACACUGGGACUGAGACACGGCCCAGACUCCUACGGGAGGCAGCAGUAGGGAAUCUUCGGCAAUGGACGAAAGUCUGACCGAGCAACGCCGCGUGAGUGAAGAAGGUUUUCGGAUCGUAAAGCUCUGUUGUAAGAGAAGAACGGGUGUGAGAGUGGAAAGUUCACACUGUGACGGUAUCUUACCAGAAAGGGACGGCUAACUACGUG